CCAGUCCAAAACUCCAACCACAUCCCUAUAUAAAUAAAUAACCCCCAUCCAACAGAACGACCAUACACCACGCCUCCUCCCUCUUCGGUGCAACAGAAGAACGUGGACGGAGCUAAUCAAUCUCCCUCUUCUCACGCCUCCUCCCUCUCCUCGACAUGGAUGCGGUCAGAGCUAAUUCUUGGGUGCAGCAGAAGGACCAUACAUCACCUGCGCAACAGAAGAUGCAUGCACCACCGGGAAUUGAUCCAAUUACACCUGCGCCAUUCUAUCCAGUAAGUUCAAUUUUGCCUGCAACAAUAGAGUUUUUCUGAUCAGUUUAUCAAUACAACAUGACGUGCAACUUUAAUGGUCCCUUGGAGGGUAACACUGAUGACGAAUCAGAUUCUGAAGACCCUAUCAUUAGCUUUACUGAGGACCCAUUCAUCCAUCCCUUAAUGCCACACAACAACAGAAUAAUCGGACAAGGACAAGCAGAUAGCAAUUCCAAAAUUAUGCAGGAACUCCAAGUGUUCAUUACCAAUCAGUACAUGUCACUAUCAAAUCAAAUUGAUGACAGGUUCAAUGCACUUAACAAGCGGUUCGAUGAUGUAAUUGUGAAAAUAAUGGGCCUAGCCCAUAGUAAUUUCAGAAUUUCAAAUAAAUCUCAAAGGCCCAUGUGGGCAAGAGGUGGAGUGGUGCAAGUCUUUAGUCCCACAUUGCUAGUGGAGGGGAGGGAUGACCAACUUAAAUAUGGAAGUUGUCUCCACUCCUCCAAGCUAUGUGUGUGGGGAGAGAAGAAGAGCUCCACACGCGCGCGCUCCCUCGCCACGCCGCGCCUCGCCUCGCCGGGCGAGGCGGGGCGAAGGGCGCGGGCGCGUGGCAUCUGCGUGAAUGGUCCUCCGAAAUCCGGCCCCUCGCCUUGCGGGGGCGCGGCUUCCUUUUGUGACCUACUGGCCUCUACCAAAAACAGAUCUAUUCGAGCUAGGGUUUUUGCCUCCUCUCGUUGCUGCGCCGCCACCGUAGUCUACUCCAUCCUGAUUGUCGGCGUGCACCGGCGAUUGGGAGAGCAGGUCUCCGGAACCAUCAUCUUCAACGAUCCUGCACCGGGAGAGGGCGAAUAAGGUUUUUGGGAAGCGCUCUGCGCGACUGCUCGAUCGCUUCCUCCGCUUCGUCAAGUUCUUCGUCGACUCCUUCACCACGGCUCGUCUACCUCUUCAUCACUCACCGUCGCGAACAACGUCAGGCUGCCGAUCGUCGUCGCCUGUUGUACCCGGUAGUCAUCCAGGAGCCGGUCUUCAUUAAGAAAGAAACGUACGAUCUCUUAUCUCAAAUUAUGUCUUCCAUACUAGCUAUUAUGAUCUGUUGCAGUCUGAUAGCACUGGAUAGUAUGGUAGAAUGUGUGAUUCUAUUUGCAAUGAUAGACUUAUCUAGAUCUUGCGUAGACAUGUCUAGUUUAAUCUGCUAUCUGUUCAUCGUAUUCAUGAUUUAUUUCUGGAUUAAAUUAAAACUAAAAGUGCUUAUAUAUAUCCAACAAUCCAAAAACCUUCUUGUAGGCACUUUAGUUUUAUGGCUGGAUUUCUUAAUGCACUGAGGCUAGCACCGUUUGCUGGCGUGCACUUCAAGAGGUGGCAGGUGAAAGCCACGCUUUGGCUUACUGCCAUGAAGGUGUUCUGGGUGUCCAAUGGCAAGCCGGAAGGGGUUCUCUCUCCUGAAAAGGAGAAAGAAUAUUCGGAAGCCAACACAAUCCUCUUGGGCGCUGUGAUUGGUGCACUUGCAGAACAUCUGCAGGAUGUGUACCUUCAUCACACGGUUGCAAAGGAGUUGUAGGAUGAUCUGACUGCCAACUACGGUGGCUCAGAUACUAGCACUGAACUAUACAUCAUUGAGCAGUAUCAUGACUACAAGAUGGUUGAUGGAAAAUCUGUAGUCGCUCAGGCUCAUGAAUUACAGUGCAUGGUGAAGGAACUCGAUCUGCUAAAGAUUGUCGUGUCCGACAAGUUUGUCGCUAGGGGCAUUAUUGCCAAGUUACCUCCAUCCUGGAGGGAUUUCGCCACUUCUCUCAAACACAAGAGGAUAGAAAUUUCUGUUUCAGACUUGAUUGCGUCUCUUGAUGUUGAGGAGAAAGCUCGGGCUAAAGAUGGACGAUCUAAAGCUAUUGAGGGUCAGACCAGUGCCAAUAUGGUGCACCAAUCACAUCACAAUGGCAAUGGUGGCAAGGGCAAGGGCAAGAACAAUAAGCCUAAGCAGUCCACUACCUUGAAGAAGAAGAAGAACAAGGAGAACGAGGGAUGCUUCGUGUGCGGUUCUACUGACCAUUGGGCAAAGAAGUGUCCAAACCGCAAAGGAAGAAAACUGUAACACCUCUACCUAAAUUAAGUGCUUUAAUUCUAAACCAGUGUCAAAGUAAAUCCCUAAGCUAAGAAGUGAAAUGACAUGUAUAAACCUAAGAAGCUCUCUUUUGGGGUUUGUUUUAAAGCUUGAAAUUCUAUAUACAAACUUCAGUUUAUGCCCAAAUAAGAGUUGUAAAACUUUUAAAUUCCAACAACUUUUGUUAAAGGCAACUUGUCUAAUUCGGAGUGGAAAGGAGUCAAAAACAGCAACCCAAGCCGGUUCUCCUACAGGACCUUGAAAAUCUCUGAAGUCCUGGAAUUCGAGUUUUCCUCCAUCUUUGCAAGCUUUCAUCUCCCGUUUUCUUAUCUAAACUCGAGUCAGAGCCUUAAUAGAAGUUGUAGUACCUCAAGAGUGUUCCAAUGUUGUUACACUGACCCAGAUCCAAAUCGGGCCCGAACUUGUUCAAAAUCCCGGUCAAAGUGAGGUAAACCAGUCAACUCACCCCGGAUGCUUAAAAAUCCUAAGUCUGGAAUCCCAGAUUUUUGGCUAACUUUGGCCAGAAAUAUCUUUGAAUCCUUUCACAAUCUAAACCGACACCUUAAACAAAAUUUGAAGAACGAUCAGAGUUGAACAAGUUUGUUUAAGGGAGUUUCGGGAGUUGUGUUGAAAGAUUCGGAGAAGGAUCGCUCCAAAGCUGGUCUGGCUUGCCGCCCAAAAGGAGCCUCGACGCCCGCGCGCCCGAGCAUGUUCGCUCGCGCGCCGCGCGCCGCGUGGCCGCCGGCCACCAGCAGCUCGCCGGCGCCCUAUCACCAGCGCAACAGCGACCGGACAAGUGCCACGGCACCCAACCCGCACCCGCGACAGGAUGGAGCGAGCGCAGGGCUCGCCAAUCGCCGACCGCGCGCAGGUCGCCUUCCGCCUGCCACGGCUCUGCUCCGCCAACCCGGUCCCGCCCGUUCGCCGAGAAAGCUGAGAUGCCCCCGACGUCCCGCGCCUCCGCCCGCUCGCCCAACCCCCACGGUAGCCUUUCCGCCUCGCCCGCCCGACAGACCGGAAGCCCCAAACGCGCGCCGCCCAAGGCCAAUCGCCGCUGAAGACCACCCGGAGCUCCGCCUCCUCUGCCCAAUGGCGUCGUCGGCCAAUGGCCACCUCGCUCGAGCACUCGCCGCUCCCGGCCUUAUCCUUUCCCCACCGGAGCCCCGCCUCGACCCUCCGCGCCACCCCGGCCCUAUAAAAGGGAACCCCCUCACCGGCAAUGCCACCCCUUUGCCACCGCCCGCACCGCGCCGCCGCUUUCUCCUCUACGCCCUGCUUUCUCCUCUGAGCCACCGCUUUCUUCCCGCGCCGCCGCUGAGCUUCCGUGAAGCUCACCCCCUUGCGCCACCCCCACACUCCGGCGACUUCGCCGCCACCCGCAAGCCGCUUCUUCCAACACACCCGCUGCCCGCUCCUCCGCGCGGUACUAGAGCUUGCUUGUGUCCACUAGAAGCACCGCCGCCGCCGGACCACCGUCGAAGUCUCGCCGCCGCCCAAGCCUUCGUGCGUACAACCCUUCCGCCCAGCCUACUCCUGCUCGGCCCCAAGGCUUCGCCGGUAGACCUGGAGGUAAGCUACCUAACCUCCCUGUCUUUCCGUCUCAUACGACCCCUAUCCUUUUCGUCUCGCCCAACCCCUGGUCUCGCCCGACCCCUAUCUUUCCAUCUCGCCCGACCCCUGUCUUUCCGUCUCGCCCGACCCCUGUCCUUGUUCGUUUCGCCCGACCCCUAUCCUUUUCGUUUCGCCCGACCCCUGUCCUUUUCGUUUCGCCCGACCCCUUUUCUUUUCGCCUCGCCCGACCCUGCCAAGUUUGCCGACCCUUUCUCCGCCUCGCCCGAGGGCUCGGUUGUAAUUCUUUUUCUUGAUCCGAGGGUAUCGGUGAAAUGUUUUUGGGGAUUCCUCUGUGUUGAGUCCGAGGACCUCGGUAAGGUUUUCCUUAAACCUGAGGGUCAGACCCUAAGUUUUCGUCAAUCCGACCCUCUCAUCCUGCUCUCCACCAACAGAAGUUGAACUCCCCCACCUUUCUUGUAGCUUUGCUACAAGUGUCCGUGUUAAAACGUGAGAGUGUUGAAAUAACCAUCUAAAAUGUUUAACCCCUGCAUUGCAUUUCCAUGUAGAGUUGAAUCUCGCCGACGGGACGUACGAGCUUCAUCCAGCCCCGGAAGAAGACCCCACUGAGGAACAGCUGCACCCCUUCGAAGGAGAGCCCGAACCAGCGCAAGACCCCAAGGACCCCCAAGCGUUUUCUGAAGGCAAGCCCCGGUGCAUGAACUCCCUGUUUUGCUUUCAUGCCACUUAUUGAUUACUUGAUUGCGCAUUUACGUUCGAGGAGUUGUAAUGGAACCUUAGAUGCAUAACUUAGUACGUUGUUUUUGAAUACUAGUUGCUAAGGCCGAAUAGUUGCAUUGCUUAAUAGGUUUCGGUAAAAGUCGAGUGAUCUCCUGUCACUCGCGAGUUAUAGGAGUUGAAUGUUUCAGAUUUGUCGCAACUAUAAGGACGACGGACGGGGUCAGGCUUGUGUUCGAUGCUUGGUGGAUUGCCCCGUCUGUCUAAAUGAAAAUGAACUAAGGUCGAAACAUGUCGGCGUUCGUGAUCAAGUGAUUGAAAGUACUAUUUCAUACCUAGUAUGGGAUGGGGAAGCCUAGUACCUGAUUGAACUGGGGCGUGGCAUACCUUCUGGCUGUCCUUGGAACAUCGUUCCCAUGGUGCAUCAUGUGGGUGCAAGUGCGGUCAAAGUGCAGCAAUAGGCCGGGACUGUGGAGCAUUGCAUGCCAAAGGAAGUUGGCCCUGACACGUGCCUAAGGGAUCGAUGGGGACGGCUGACAAAUGAAGCGACCCUUCGAGGUGCGCGGAUGUCGUGAGAUUAGGUUUGCCAUGCAUGGUUAAUAAAUUCGAAUCGAUUCGUCUGCCUCUCACAGAUUGGGACUACUUGAUCGCUAUUCUGCACUGAGUAAAUAUGGAACAUGAUGAUGAUUUUAAUCUUGAUGUUUGAUAAGUAAUUGCCUGGAAACCAUGUUUGUUUAGUAUAAGUUGCUAAUUUAGAAUGGAUAAAGAACAUAGAACAUGAGCUAAAAGGUUGAAAGUAAGGACUAACUUUAGACGCUUUUGGCAAGAAAAACCCCAGAGCCAGAAAGCCUUGCAUGUCUAAGUCUCGGUCGUGUCCUUCCGACGGGUCAGUCUUGCUGAGUACUAGUUGCUCAGCCUUGUUGUGGCUAAUCUUUUUCAGGUAAUGUCAGUAGCUUGGGUGUUGGUACCACUUGGCC
Molecule: long non-coding RNA, 5609 nt
Filed under: Setaria italica (foxtail millet)
Lineage: Eukaryota; Viridiplantae; Streptophyta; Magnoliopsida; Poales; Poaceae
Description: long non-coding RNA (SITA_LNC001435)
Source: RNAcentral